AAGCCAUGGUGAGGGCAGUCUCGCUGGUACGAUUUGAAUCGCACCCAAGAAGCCUUGAACGCUUCAGUAGGGUCCUGAGAGAAAGUCGAGAUCUUAGUCCUCAACUC
Small nucleolar RNA from Eutrema salsugineum, 107 nucleotides. It matches the Rfam family "Plant small nucleolar RNA R71". From Rfam's summary of the family: R71 is a member of the C/D box family of snoRNAs containing the C (UGAUGA) and D (CUGA) box motifs. Multiple nearly identical copies of this snoRNA have been identified in Arabidopsis, and it is thought to function as a 2'-O-ribose methylation guide for 18S ribosomal RNA. NCBI's taxonomy places the organism in Eukaryota, Viridiplantae, Streptophyta, Magnoliopsida, Brassicales, Brassicaceae. The record is from Rfam.